This 237-nucleotide long non-coding RNA is filed under the name Setaria viridis. RNAcentral describes it as "long non-coding RNA (SVIR_LNC010088)". Lineage: Eukaryota; Viridiplantae; Streptophyta; Magnoliopsida; Poales; Poaceae. The record is from RNAcentral.
GCAUCAGCUGGACAUUAUUCAUCCUCAUUGAACAAAACCUGCAGUGGAACAUUGUGACGUACGUUAGAGGUCUGACAAAUUAAAUGUUGCCUGCCUGCUUAAAAUAACUAUGUUGAUCAAGUAAAGGUAAAUCCCUCACUACUCGGUGAAAUAAUUUCUGGUUCCACAAGCAAACACGCACCACAAAUUAAAAAAUGGCAACCCAUAAGAUGGGCGCAAGAAAUUGACAAAAGCCAC